CCUACGGGAGGCAGCAGUGAGGAAUAUUGGUCAAUGGACGAGAGUCUGAACCAGCCAAGUAGCGUGAAGGAUGACUGCCCUCUGGGUUGUAAACUUCUUUUAUAUGGGAAUAAAAUGUUCCACGUGUGGGAUUUUGUAUGUACCAUAUGAAUAAGGAUCGGCUAACUCCGUGCCAGCAGCCGCGGUAGUACGGAGGAUCCGAGCGUUAUCCGGAUUUAUUGGGUUUAAAGGGAACGUAGGUGGAUUGUUAAGUCAGUUGUGAAAGUUUGCGGCUCAACCGUAAAAUUGCAGUUGAAACUGGCAGUCUUGAGUACAGUAGAGGUGGGCGGAAUUCGUGGUGUAGCGGUGAAAUGCUUAGAUAUCACGAAGAACUCCGAUUGCGAAGGCAGUUCACUGGACUGCAACUGACACUGAGGCUCGAAAGUGUGGGUAUCAAACAGGAUUAGAUACCCUAGUAGUC
This 460-nucleotide ribosomal RNA is filed under the name uncultured bacterium. RNAcentral describes it as "partial 16S ribosomal RNA". It matches the Rfam family "Bacterial small subunit ribosomal RNA", at positions 338 to 795 of the family's 1533-position model. The record is from RNAcentral.